This 505-nucleotide ribosomal RNA is filed under the name uncultured bacterium. RNAcentral describes it as "partial 16S ribosomal RNA". It matches the Rfam family "Bacterial small subunit ribosomal RNA", at positions 28 to 507 of the family's 1533-position model. The record is from RNAcentral.
GACGAACGCUGGCGGCGUGCCUAAUACAUGCAAGUAGAACGCACAGUUUAUACCGUAGCUUGCUACACCAUAAACUGUGAGUUGCGAACGGGUGAGUAACGCGUAGGUAACCUGCCUGGUAGCGGGGGAUAACUAUUGGAAACGAUAGCUAAUACCGCAUAAUAUUAAUUAUUGCAUGAUAAUUGAUUGAAAGAUGCAAUUGCAUCACUACCAGAUGGACCUGCGUUGUAUUAGCUAGUAGGUGAGGUAACGGCUCACCUAGGCGACGAUACAUAGCCGACCUGAGAGGGUGAUCGGCCACACUGGGACUGAGACACGGCCCAGACUCCUACGGGAGGCAGCAGUAGGGAAUCUUCGGCAAUAGACGAAAGUCUGACCGAGCAACGCCGCGUGAGUGAAGAAGGUUUUCGGAUCGUAAAGCUCUGUUGUAAGAGAAGAACGGGUGUGAGUGUGGAAAGUUCACACUGUGACGGUAUCUUACCAGAAAGGGACGGCUAACUACGUG